This 762-nucleotide ribosomal RNA is filed under the name uncultured Peptostreptococcus sp. Its description in RNAcentral is "bacterial SSU rRNA". It matches the Rfam family "Bacterial small subunit ribosomal RNA", at positions 28 to 776 of the family's 1533-position model. The record is from RNAcentral. Lineage: Bacteria; Bacillati; Bacillota; Clostridia; Peptostreptococcales; Peptostreptococcaceae.
GAUGAACGCUGGCGGCGUGCCUAACACAUGCAAGUCGAGCGAGGGUUUGCUCAGUAUUGAGUAUUCUAAGACUAGAAUGUUCAAUUCUGAGCAAAACCAAGCGGCGGACGGGUGAGUAACGCGUGGGUAACCUGCCCUAUACACAUGGAUAACAUACUGAAAAGUUUACUAAUACAUGAUAAUAUAUAUUUGCGGCAUCGCAGAUAUAUCAAAGUGUUAGCGGUAUAGGAUGGACCCGCGUCUGAUUAGCUAGUUGGUGAGAUAACUGCCCACCAAGGCGACGAUCAGUAGCCGACCUGAGAGGGUGAUCGGCCACAUUGGAACUGAGACACGGUCCAAACUCCUACGGGAGGCAGCAGUGGGGAAUAUUGCACAAUGGGCGAAAGCCUGAUGCAGCAACGCCGCGUGAACGAUGAAGGUCUUCGGAUCGUAAAGUUCUGUUGCAGGGGAAGAUAAUGACGGUACCCUGUGAGGAAGCCCCGGCUAACUACGUGCCAGCAGCCGCGGUAAUACGUAGGGGGCUAGCGUUAUCCGGAUUUACUGGGCGUAAAGGGUGCGUAGGUGGUCCUUCAAGUCGGUGGUUAAAGGCUACGGCUCAACCGUAGUAAGCCGCCGAAACUGGAGGACUUGAGUGCAGGAGAGGAAAGUGGAAUUCCCAGUGUAGCGGUGAAAUGCGUAGAUAUUGGGAGGGACACCAGUAGCGAAGGCGGCUUUCUGGACUGCGACUGACACUGAGGCACGAAAGCGUGGGUAGCAAACAGG